RNAcentral lists this ribosomal RNA (460 nucleotides) under uncultured bacterium. RNAcentral's name for it is "partial 16S ribosomal RNA". It matches the Rfam family "Bacterial small subunit ribosomal RNA", at positions 338 to 795 of the family's 1533-position model. The record is from RNAcentral.
CCUACGGGAGGCAGCAGUGAGGAAUAUUGGUCAAUGGGCGAGAGCCUGAACCAGCCAAGUAGCGUGAAGGAUGACUGCCCUACGGGUUGUAAACUUCUUUUAUAAAGGAAUAAAGUGAGGCAGGUGGGCAUUUUGGUAUGAACUUUAUGAAUAAGGAUCGGCUAACUCCGUGCAAGCAGCCGCGGUAAUACGGAGGAUCCGAGCGUUAUCCGGAUUUAUUGGGUUUAAAGGGAGCGUAGAUGGGUUGUUAAGUCAGUUGUGAAAGUUUGCGGCUCAACCGUAAAAUUGCAAUUGAUACUGGCAGUCUUGAGUACAGUUGAGGUAGGCGGAAUUCGUGGUGUAGCGGUGAAAUGCUUAGAUAUCACGAAGAACUCCGAUUGCGAAGGCAGCUUACUAAACUGCCACUGACAUUGAUGCUCGAAAGUGUGGGUAUCAAACAGGAUUAGAUACCCGGGUAGUC